AUUGAACGCUGGCGGCAUGCCUUACACAUGCAAGUCGAACGGCAGCACGGGUGCUUGCACCUGGUGGCGAGUGGCGAACGGGUGAGUAAUACAUCGGAACGUACCUUAUCGUGGGGACUAACGCAGCGAAAGCUGUGCUAAUACCGCAUACGCCCUGAGGGGGAAAGCGGGGGAUCGCAAGACCUCGCGCGAUUAGAGCGGCCGAUGCCUGAUUAGCUUGUUGGUGGGGUAAAAGCCCACCAAGGCGACGAUCAGUAGCUGGUCUGAGAGGACGAUCAGCCACACUGGGACUGAGACACGGCCCAGACUCCUACGGGAGGCAGCAGUGGGGAAUUUUGGACAAUGGGGGCAACCCUGAUCCAGCAAUGCCGCGUGAGUGAAGAAGGCCUUCGGGCUGUAAAGCUCUUUUGUCAGGGAAGAAACACCGGCUCUAACACAGUCCGGGAAUGACGGUACCUGAAGAAUAAGCACCGGCUAACUACGUGCCAGCCGCCGCCGUAA
Molecule: ribosomal RNA, 501 nt
Filed under: uncultured bacterium
Lineage: Bacteria
Description: partial 16S ribosomal RNA
Rfam family: Bacterial small subunit ribosomal RNA
Source: RNAcentral